This 412-nucleotide ribosomal RNA is filed under the name uncultured microorganism. Its description in RNAcentral is "bacterial SSU rRNA". It matches the Rfam family "Bacterial small subunit ribosomal RNA", at positions 9 to 416 of the family's 1533-position model. The record is from RNAcentral.
GAGUUUGAUCGUGGCUCAGAUUGAACGCUGGCGGCAUGCCUUACACAUGCAAGUCGAACGGCAGCAUGAUCUAGCUUGCUAGAUUGAUGGCGAGUGGCGAACGGGUGAGUAAUACAUCGGAACGUGCCCUGUAGUGGGGGAUAACUAGUCGAAAGAUUAGCUAAUACCGCAUACGACCUGAGGGUGAAAGUGGGGGACCGCAAGGCCUCAUGCUAUAGGAGCGGCCGAUGUCUGAUUAGCUAGUUGGUGGGGUAAAGGGCCCACCAAGGCGACGAUCAGUAGCUGGUCUGAGAGGACGAUCAGCCACACUGGGACUGAGACACGGCCCAGACUCCUACGGGAGGCAGCAGUGGGGAAUUUUGGACAAUGGGCGAAAGCCUGAUCCAGCAAUGCCGCGUGUGUGAAGAAGGCC